This 849-nucleotide ribosomal RNA is filed under the name Triticum aestivum (bread wheat). RNAcentral's name for it is "partial small subunit ribosomal RNA". Lineage: Eukaryota; Viridiplantae; Streptophyta; Magnoliopsida; Poales; Poaceae. The record is from RNAcentral.
AUGCAAGAUGGUCACCCGUUGGCCUUCUUCAGUAAAGCUCUUGGACCACGCAAGCAAGGCCUUUCGGUAUAUGAGAAGGAAUUCAUGGCAGUGUUAAUGGCGGUGGAUCAUUGGCGUCCAUAUUUACAGUCAGGAGAGUUCAUUAUCCGUACUGAUCAAUGCAGCUUCGCCCAUCUUGAUGAUCAAAGACUGACAACUCCCUGGCAGCGGCGUGCUCUCACCAAACUCCUUGGACUUCAAUACAAGAUUGUCUAUAAGAAAGGCGUGGAGAACCGAGCGGCAGAUGCCUUAUCUCACCGACAUGGAGCACUGUUAGCGAUCUCUAUGGCUCUGCCCACUUGGCUAAAUGAGAUCACAAAGGGGUACCAAUCUGACCCCCAUGCGUGUAAACUGUUGCAUAAAUACACGGGGGCAACAUAUCUUACGGCUUCGUAUACUGUGCAUGAUGGAGUGAUCAAAUACAAAGGACGUGUGUGGCUUGGUUCCAACAAAACAACUCAAGAUCUCAUACUGCGGCAAAUGCAUUCUAGUCCGUCAGGGGGGAAUUCUGGUAUCCAUGUGACUUAUGAUCGGCUAAAGAGGCUUUUUUCUUGGCCUGGCAUGAAGAUGGACGUAACCAAUUUUGUAUCCAGUUGUGAUGUUUGCAAACAAGCAAAACCAGAGCAUGUGCGUACCCCUGGGCUGCUGGAGCCUUUGGAAGUUCCACCACACCCAUGGCACACUAUCACCUUAGAUUUUGUGGAAGGGCUGCCAAUCUCGAAGGGCUAUUCCUGCAUUUUAGUGGUUGUAGACAAGCUGACGAGGUAUGCUCAUUUUGUGCCCUUGGCCCACCCCUUCUCAGCUGUUUAG